This 474-nucleotide ribosomal RNA is filed under the name uncultured bacterium. Its description in RNAcentral is "SSU rRNA". It matches the Rfam family "Bacterial small subunit ribosomal RNA", at positions 26 to 518 of the family's 1533-position model. The record is from RNAcentral.
AGGACGAACGCUGGCGGCGUGCUUAACACAUGCAAGUCGAGCGGAAAGGCCCUUCGGGGUACUCGAGCGGCGAACGGGUGAGUAACACGUGAGUAAUCUGCCCCUAGCUCUGGGAUAGCUCCGGGAAACCGGGAUUAAUACCGGAUACGACCACCUUAGACAUCUUUUGUGGUGGAAAGAAUUUCGGCUAGGGAUGAGCUCGCGGCCUAUCAGCUUGUUGGUGGGGUAACGCCUACCAAGGCGACGACGGGUAGCCGGCCUGAGAGGGCGACCGGCCACACUGGGACUGAGACACGGCCCAGACUCCUACGGGAGGCAGCAGUGGGGAAUAUUGCGCAAUGGGCGAAAGCCUGACGCAGCGACGCCGCGUGGGGGAUGAAGGCCUUCGGGUUGUAAACCCCGUUUCAGCAGGGACGAAGCGAAAGUGACGGUACCUGCAGAAGAAGCGCCGGCUAACUACGUGCCAGCAGCCGC